UUAAUAAAUAUAGUGUUUGCUAAGAGGAAUGAUAAAACGAUAUUGCAAUAUACCCUUGCACAUCGAAUUAUAUUGGUUCCUACUACUAGUUAUUAAUGUGCUUGCUGCGCAGUUAUAUGAACAAAAUGUGGCCACUUAUAGUAUUGUUUUUACUGAAUUAUCUCAAAGUGUUACUUGAUAAAAUCCAGUUAGAUAUAUCUGAAGUAAACGGUGUGAAACUGAUAAUGCGACCUCCAUACCUGGCCUGUAGUGUGUUCUUGAAUGGAGAGGUAAAACUGGUAAUGCAAAUAGCAACAUUUGUUUUUGUCCAAGGCUCAACCAGUCUUCACUUGACCACCUAGCAUCAUAGCAUGAGUUUUGUCUAACCUCCAAAAGCUUCAAACACUAACACAGAAGGCAGACGUUUUUUGUUUGCAGCUUAUUUUUUCGGARAAGUCGGAGGCGAUCGAAUAAACCCCCAAUUCUCCUAGCAAACAUAUAAUCUUAGGACAAUAAAAUGGAUGAGUUACUGGGAAGAUUAAAUGACCAACAGGACAUUAAAAACUGUAACAUCUUAUGCUUCACGGAGUCGAGGCUGAACGACGACAAUAUCAACAUACAGCUGGCUGGUUAUGUGAUGUUCCGACAGGAUAGAACAUCGGCGUCUGAGAAAGCAUGUACACCAUCUUAAGWAUUAUGGAGAACUGACGGCAAACACACUGAAGACAAAACAUGCCCCUAAGAUUCCCUCCACCAGCAAGCAGAGCACAUUACUGAAGACAGUGUCUCAAAAAUCCAUCAACAAAGCUGUGGUGAAGUAUGUGGUCCAAGGGUUCCAACCAUUCGCUGUUGUAGAACACAAACCGUUCAGAGAGUUUGUCCAGGAUCUGCAGCCUAACUCAAAGAUCUUAUCAAGGCCCACACUGCGCUCCAGGAUUGAUGAAGGCUCCAAGGAAAUGAAGAAGAAGGUGACUGAGGCCAUGAGAGGAGUUGACCACAUCGCCACCACCACCGACUGCUGGUCUGCAAGAAGACAGAGCUUCAUUGGUGUUACUGCCCACUGGAUAGACCCUGACAGUUUCAACAGAUGCUCUGCAGCCCUGGCCUGUAAACGGUUGAGAGGAUCGCACACCUUCGAUGUGUUGGCAGGCACCCUAAAUAACAUCCAUUCUGAGUUUGAAAUCAUGGGUUAAGAUUGUGAGAACAACAACAGACAACGGCUCUAACUUAUUGAAUGUUUUCAGAGUUUUUGAUGAAAAGAUGAAAAACAACGAGACAGUGGAAGCAGUGGGUGGUGAAGCAGCUCAGCCAGGACAGGAAGAUGGUGAAGAGGAACAAGAGGAGAGUGAAGAAGUGGAGUUUGUUGAGGUGGCAAUGAUCCUGAAUGAAGAUGAUGGUUUUGAGUACCAGUUGCCGAAGCACCAGCACUGUUCUUGCCACCGACUCUAAGUAUCUACAGUCAAUGCCCUGAAAGCAACAUCCAGUAAGAAAAAAUAAAUAAAAAGUGUCCCGUUCAAUAUUUGCCAAGUGCCAAGCCCCAAGCACUAUGGAACAAAUGAAGAUGCUUGCAGCUGCUGCGCCCGAAUGCUACAGUACAAGGUGGAACUCCUGGUUCAUGGCUGUAGAAAGACUCCUGAGGAUCGUCAAAGACAAAGGAGUGGCGGUCGUCAGAGUUCUCUGCACAGACUUCGAGGUUCCAAUGUAGGUUCAAUCCAGCUGCACUCGCCUUCCUCACAGAGUAUGCUGCCACCAUGAGCCCAGUCGCAAAGGCCGUCAACAUCCUGCAGGCUGAAACCAAUGUCCAGAUGGGGUGGCUACUUCCAACUACCAACCUGCUGAUCACAAAACUUGACMGACUCAAGUUGUCCCUGAAGUACUGUAAGCCUCUGGUGGAUAGCUACAACUGGGACUGAAGAAGCGCUUCAGCCACAUGUUUCACAACCCUGAGCUGAUAGCAGCUGCAAUCCUUCUCCCCAAAUUCAAAACAAUGUGGACAAAGGAUGAUACCACCAUCAGAAUGGGAAUGGACUACAUMAAGGACCUGRAAGAACCCUUGAUGCAGCUAGGUGAUGGCAUCAGUUCAUCAGAUGAGGACUUCUUCUCUGCCAUGAAAACCUCUCAAGCACAAGAAAUCUCCAAACAGAUGGACGGACACCUGGCCUGUUCAGCUGAUCAUAUGGAGUUGCUCAAGUCCUUCCCGGCAGUCUGUAAGCUGUCUCUGAGGUUAAACACACCCUUACCUACAUCAAGGCUGUUCAGCGUUGCAGUACUUGUUUUCAGCCCCAAUGGCUGGAUUCCAGAAACGUUGAAAACCAGCUUUUCCUGAAGAUGAACCGUAAAUUCUUCAACUUCAAGUAAUGACAGCUUAACGCUAGCAAGCCCAAGGACACGGCUGCCUUAUGCGUUUUGUUAAUUUAUGUUUAAAAUUCUAAAUCUUUACACCCAAGCCAUAAGACUCCUGAACAGGUAAUCAAAUGGCUACCAGGACUAUUUGCAUUG
Molecule: long non-coding RNA, 2478 nt
Organism: Salvelinus sp. IW2-2015
Lineage: Eukaryota; Metazoa; Chordata; Actinopteri; Salmoniformes; Salmonidae
Source: RefSeq, a predicted model, not a curated record